Non-coding RNA from Bacillus thuringiensis serovar pakistani str. T13001, 197 nucleotides. The record is from Rfam. NCBI's taxonomy places the organism in Bacteria, Bacillati, Bacillota, Bacilli, Caryophanales, Bacillaceae.
GAGAACUAUUAUUCCGAUGAAUCAAAUGAUAGGGUAACGCCUUAAAGGGUUCACUCGAUACCGAACUGCGUGGGAAUAUGUAAGAGUCGAAGCGUAGUAAGCUCGGUGUAAAAGUGGGAGAGCUUAUCGUAACAGAAGAAGCUGACGAAAGACUUUCAGAGGUGAAAGUUGUAGGUCAUACCACAAGAGUCGAGCGG